This 483-nucleotide ribosomal RNA is filed under the name uncultured bacterium. RNAcentral describes it as "partial 16S ribosomal RNA". It matches the Rfam family "Bacterial small subunit ribosomal RNA", at positions 28 to 523 of the family's 1533-position model. The record is from RNAcentral.
GACGAACGCUGGCGGCGUGCUUAACACAUGCAAGUUGAACGAUGAAGCUGGAGCUUGCUCCGGUGGAUUAGUGGCGAACGGGUGAGUAACACGUGAGCAAUCUGCCCUUGACUCUGGGAUAACUGCGGGAAACUGUAGCUAAUACCGGCUACGAGGCUCGAAGGCAGCUUCGGGUCUGGAAAGAAUUUCGGUCAAGGAUGAGCUCGCGGCCUAUCAGCUUGUGGGUCAGGUAAGGGCUCACCAAGGCGACGACGGGUAGCCGGCCUGAGAGGGUGAACGGCCACACUGGGACUGAGACACGGCCCACACGCCUACGGGGGGUAGGGGUGGGGAAUAUUGCACAAUGGGCGAAAGCCUGAUGCAGCAACGCCGCGUGAGGGAUGAAGGCCUUCGGGUUGUAAACCUCUUUUAGCAGGGAAGAAGCGAAGGUGACGGUACCUGCAGAAAAAGCACCGGCUAACUACGUGGCAGCAGCCGCAGUAA